RNAcentral lists this ribosomal RNA (496 nucleotides) under uncultured bacterium. RNAcentral's name for it is "partial 16S ribosomal RNA". It matches the Rfam family "Bacterial small subunit ribosomal RNA", at positions 29 to 507 of the family's 1533-position model. The record is from RNAcentral.
AUGAACGCUGGCGGCGUGCCUAAUACAUGCAAGUCGAGCGAACGGACGAGAAGCUUGCUUCUCUGAUGAUAGCGGCGGACGGGUGAGUAACACGUGGAUAACCUACCUAUAAGACUGGGAUAACUUCGGGAAACCGGAGCUAAUACCGGAUGAUAUUUUGAACCGCAUGGUUCAAAAGUGAAAGACGGUCUUGCUGUCACUUAUAGAUGGAUCCGCGCUGCAUUAGCUAGUUGGUAAGGUAACGGCUUACCAAGGCAACGAUGCAUAGCCGACCUGAGAGGGUGAUCGGCCACACUGGAACUGAGACACGGUCCAGACUCCUACGGGAGGCAGCAGUAGGGAAUCUUCCGCAAUGGGCGAAAGCCUGACGGAGCAACGCCGCGUGAGUGAUGAAGGUCUUCGGAUCGUAAAACUCUGUUAUUAGGGAAGAACAUAUGUGUAAGUAACUGUGCACAUCUUGACGGUACCUAAUCAGAAAGCCACGGCUAACUACGUG